GACGAACGCUGGCGGCGCGCCUAACACAUGCAAGUCGAACGGAGCUUAGAGAGCUUGCUUUUUAAGCUUAGUGGCGAGCGGGUGAGUAACGCGUGAGUAACCUGCCCUAGAGUGGGGGACAACAGUUGGAAACGACUGCUAAUACCGCAUAAGCCCACGGUACCGCAUGGCACUGAGGGAAAAGGAUUUAUUCGCUUUAGGAUGGACUCGCGUCCAAUUAGCUAGUUGGUGAGGUAACGGCCCACCAAGGCGACGAUUGGUAGCCGGACUGAGAGGUUGAACGGCCACAUUGGGACUGAGACACGGCCCAGACUCCUACGGGAGGCAGCAGUGGGGGAUAUUGCACAAUGGGGGAAACCCUGAUGCAGCGACGCCGCGUGGAGGAAGAAGGUUUUCGGAUUGUAAACUCCUGUCGUUAGGGACGAUAAUGACG
Molecule: ribosomal RNA, 433 nt
Filed under: uncultured bacterium
Lineage: Bacteria
Description: bacterial SSU rRNA
Rfam family: Bacterial small subunit ribosomal RNA
Source: RNAcentral